Long non-coding RNA from Ornithodoros turicata, 472 nucleotides. RefSeq lists it as uncharacterized. NCBI's taxonomy places the organism in Eukaryota, Metazoa, Arthropoda, Arachnida, Ixodida, Argasidae. The record is from RefSeq and is a predicted model, not a curated record. The transcript has 3 exons.
AAGGACAUAGCUCAGCUGUCACCAGCGGGGCAGACUUACAGCCUUGAGUCAUUCCAUGCGGUCAUCAUUCACUUCGCUUCAAAGUCUGUGCCUUACACUCCGGCUGUCAUGCAAGCUAGAACACGACUUGCAGCUCUCCAUUUCAACGAAAAUGCAAAUCGAGUGCAAGCAGUGAAGCGGAGCGGAGAAGGAAAAUUCAAGAUCAAGCUGCAGCGUGCAAGGGAGGGUCAUUAUGUGGCGUGCCCACUGAAUGUGGACGCAACAUACGACUACAUCAGGGAUUUGAUGGAAGAAACUGUUGCAGCAUGUCAGCGCUUCAGAACCUUCGACGAGGCUUUUGCUGCCAGCAACGAAGACGUGCCUCCACCCAUGACAGCACACCAUCCCCGAACACAGUCCGCUGCAGAACUCGCUGCUAUACGCCAAAAGAGAUUUUGUGAUGUCCGACGAAGGCUUGAGUAUGAAUAAUGUA